CCGGUAAACGGCGGCCGUAACUAUAACGGUCCUAAGGUAGCGAAAUUCCUUGUCGGGUAAGUUCCGACCUGCACGAAUGGCGUAAUGAUGGCCAGGCUGUCUCCACCCGAGACUCAGUGAAAUUGAACUCGCUGUGAAGAUGCAGUGUACCCGCGGCAAGACGGAAAGACCCCGUGAACCUUUACUAUAGCUUGACACUGAACAUUGAGCCUUGAUGUGUAGGAUAGGUGGGAGGCUUUGAAGUGUGGACGCCAGUCUGCAUGGAGCCGACCUUGAAAUACCACCCUUUAAUGUUUGAUGUUCUAACGUUGACCCGUAAUCCGGGUUGCGGACAGUGUCUGGUGGGUAGUUUGACUGGGGCGGUCUCCUCCUAAAGAGUAACGGAGGAGCACGAAGGUUGGCUAAUCCUGGUCGGACAUCAGGAGGUUAGUGCAAUGGCAUAAGCCAGCUUGACUGCGAGCGUGACGGCGCGAGCAGGUGCGAAAGCAGGUCAUAGUGAUCCGGUGGUUCUGAAUGGAAGGGCCAUCGCUCAACGGAUAAAAGGUACUCCGGGGAUAACAGGCUGAUACCGCCCAAGAGUUCAUAUCGACGGCGGUGUUUGGCACCUCGAUGUCGGCUCAUCACAUCCUGGGGCUGAAGUAGGUCCCAAGGGUAUGGCUGUUCGCCAUUUAAAGUGGUACGCGAGCUGGGUUUAGAACGUCGUGAGACAGUUCGGUCCCUAUCUGCCGUGGGCGCUGGAGAACUGAGGGGGGCUGCUCCUAGUACGAGAGGACCGGAGUGGACGCAUCACUGGUGUUCGGGUUGUCAUGCCAAUGGCACUGCCCGGUAGCUAAAUGCGGAAGAGAUAAGUGCUGAAAGCAUCUAAGCACGAAACUUGCCCCGAGAUGAGUUCUCCCUGACUCCUUGAGAG
This 910-nucleotide ribosomal RNA is filed under the name Escherichia coli. RNAcentral describes it as "partial 23S ribosomal RNA". It matches the Rfam family "Bacterial large subunit ribosomal RNA", at positions 1920 to 2834 of the family's 2925-position model. The record is from RNAcentral. Lineage: Bacteria; Pseudomonadati; Pseudomonadota; Gammaproteobacteria; Enterobacterales; Enterobacteriaceae.